RNAcentral lists this long non-coding RNA (788 nucleotides) under Pandoravirus neocaledonia. RNAcentral describes it as "hypothetical ncRNA". The record is from RNAcentral.
CUUGACGGCGGGCGCGAUGGCGCGCGACAGCGACGACGAUACGAGCAUGCACGCCGUGGCUGCCGGCAUGAGCGCGUCCGACGCGCGGCGCCCCUGCGCAUAGCCGAUGUAGACGCAAAAGGUCCACGAAAAGAAAAAGGACCCCAGGAACCGGCUCACCACGCGCACGGUCACGUCGUCGACGGCAAACAAGAGGUUGGGCGCGGCCGAAAACAAGAGCGCAAAGAUGACGAGGCCCGCCGGACGGAACCAUCCGCGAUUGAUGGUGCGGCGCACGGGACCGACGAGCGUCGUGGCGAACCCCAAAGGCAUGGCGGCGGCCCGCGCGAUGGACAUGAGGGCCUUGACCGAAUAGGGUCCGCCGCCGGGCCGAUCGGCGAUCUCGACGGUGAGCGCAAAGACGACAAAGUUGGGAAUGAGCGCCGCGAGCCAAUACAGCCCGGCAGCCGGCGCCAUCCACGCCGCCGUCGCCCACGUUCGAUCGCCCACCCACCGUCGCGCCGACCCCCAUCGCGUGCGCGCCCUAGACUUGCCUCUCGCAGGCCCAACGACGUCGGGCGGCGACGUCGUCUUGUUGUCGCUGCCUUCCUGCUCACCCAUUUUUUUUACCGUGCGCUCUUUUUUUUUCUCCUAGGUCGGCGUCUCUCUUCUUUUUUCCAGUGGGGGCUAUUUUUACCUUUUCCUUGCUAGGUCGGUCUUCUUUUGCCGCCGCCGCUGCUCUUGGUGUGCCUCUGCGCUCCUGUGCGCGCAUGUAGGGGAGGUCGCACAAAAAUGUCGCGGGGUGGACG